Molecule: long non-coding RNA, 2059 nt
Organism: Homo sapiens (human)
Lineage: Eukaryota; Metazoa; Chordata; Mammalia; Primates; Hominidae
Exons: 4
Source: RefSeq, a predicted model, not a curated record
GAUGGAAAAUGUCAGUUACAGCAGAUCUGGGAGCGCAGGAAAGAAGUGGUGGGAUGGAGCGAGGGAGGAAGUGGGAGGGCCGGCAAGGGCUCACCCUCCUGCCCACCUGGGCUGGUGCCCUCCUCCCAGCGAGCCAGGGGAUCAGGGAGGCUGGCUUCUUGAACGAGAGGGGCUGCUACCAGAGCAGGCAGCUUCAGAGAUGGGGGAGGGGAGGGGACUGCCACCUAGGAUUAGCAGGAUGGUCUUUGGCAGCCGUCCCGCCCAGCUGAUUAUCACAUUGUUUUAAAGGUCAUUGGGCUUCUUGAGGCCCCCAGCAGUGCGUUCUAGAAGCCCCUCCAGUCGAACUUAAAGCUCUGGGUCUAGGUAGCAGAAGGGGGAGGGUCGGGGAAGAAAAAGAUAUCAAACCCCAGUAUCCAAAGACCCCGGAACCGUAUCGAUCCCGACCCCUGCUUGGUAUCGAUUGAUCAAUGCCCCUGCCGAAAAGAGGAAUUGCCCUUUAAAAUGGUUGGGAAAGAGAUUGGGAGGGAGGGUUGAUAUUAAUCAAAGCAGGCCCCUCAGAAGGACGGCAGAGCAGCACGGGGAAGAGGAAACAAAAGAAGGAGGUUUGCCGAACAGCCUCGAAUAUUACGGCGGGAGAAGCGAUCAGUUAAUGGCACUGGAUGCAAUGAGGACCUUACAGUUGUUGGCGUCAUCUGGUCAGGAACUCUCUGCAGCUGAGAGUGGAGUGUGACUCGGUGGCCCUGCCACCGAAGCGUGUGAAGAAUCCAACCUCUCCCGUCACCAGCACUUGCCAGAUCUUCGCUCAGUCAACUCUUCGGAUCUUUGCUGGGAGACCACAGGGUUUUCAACGUCAGCCUCCGGCCACCUCCUCGAUUUUGCCUGAGGCACUGGUUGGAGCCUUCCCCUGUGUGGCUCUCCACGGGGUCAGAACACCUGGGACUCAGUCCGUGAAGCAGGAUCCCACCAGGUGGAGGUGCAGGAGACAGUACUGAUGAGUGAGUACCUGGGAGCAACCCUCAGCCAGGUGUGCGCAGGCCAUUGGUGCACCACCGUAGCUUGUGCUGUCUGCCGGAGCUCCCAAGCGGGAUGGAGCGCCUGGCGAUCAUGGUGAUAAUUGUAUGAAUAAGGCAUUUUUAUUGGUUGCCUUCCUGUCCUCAUCUCCUGUCCCCACUCCUGGAUUCCUCUCCCAAUUCAAUGACUUGCAGUCAACUCCUCGUCUCAAAGUCUGCCUUCUGGGGAGCCCAGCUGUGGGCUGCACAGAUGAGAAAAUCCACCCAAAUGGACUCCAUGGCCAGGAAGUGAGUGAGCCCUUGAUGGAUAGCCAAGGUCCUUGUCUCUGUUAGAGUGGAUUGUGGCAAAAUUGGUGGUUAUCAGUCUGUUUUGAGGGGCCCAUCUCCCCACAAGGAGAAGUGAGCUAGAAGCAAAGACAGAGACCGCUUCAUUUUAGGACAGUUUCCUUCCUCUAUCCACAGCUCAGCAUCAGAUAGAAGCCUGGGGCGUUUAUCUGUUGAGCAUGGGACGCAGCUUGGACAGUGGUUUGCUUUCCUCUCUGAAAUGCACUUUUCCAAGGCCAAAUCGCAGAUAAGCAGCUUCCCCCUGGAGUACCCCUGUUUUAUGCGGGGUAGGGAGGGCCGUGGGUGCGAUUAUGCUGGUCUGGAAGCACACAUUGACUUUAGAUAGUCCACACAGUGCAUGCUCAGUGGAAAAUCGAGAGGUGUUGUGCAUCUUGAGUCACCACCCUCUCUCACCACAGGGUCAAUCAUGAGGGGAGGAAGGGGAGGCAGAGGGAGGAAUGGAACCUGAUGCUGUCGGUGAACCUGAACAUGGACAGAGUGUGGGGGGCUCAGUGGAGUCCACAGAAGCCCCCUCCCAGAAUAAGGAGGCUGCUGGCCGGAGCUGAGUGCAGGGAGGGAGGCAUCUUAUCAGCUCCCGGACCACACUUGCCGUCCUUCCCUCUGGAGGCACCACCCAUUUGCUGUGUGCCAGUAGCAGCAUCAUUGAGACCAGAUUAAAAAUGUCUGUGCCCUUUAAAGGUGGGAUGUUUUAUUUUUUUAUUUGA